Molecule: ribosomal RNA, 253 nt
Filed under: uncultured bacterium
Lineage: Bacteria
Description: partial 16S ribosomal RNA
Rfam family: Bacterial small subunit ribosomal RNA
Source: RNAcentral
UACGUAGGCAGCAAGCGUUGUUCGGAGUUACUGGGCGUAAAGGGCGUGUAGGCGGCCUGUUAAGUUCCGUGUGAAAUCUCCCGGCUCAACCGGGAGGGUGCGCGGAAAACUGGCGGGCUAGAGUGCGGGAUGGGAGAGUAGAAUUCCUGGUGUAGCGGUGAAAUGCGUAGAUAUCAGGAGGAAUACCGGUGGUGUAGACGGCUCUCUGGACCGCAACUGACGCUGAAACACGAAAGCGUGGGUAGCAAACAGG